GACGAACGCUGGCGGCGUGCUUAACACAUGCAAGUCGAGCGGUAAGGCCUUUCGGGGUACACGAGCGGCGAACGGGUGAGUAACACGUGGGUGAUCUGCCCUGCACUCUGGGAUAAGCCUGGGAAACUGGGUCUAAUACUGGAUAUGACCUCAGCAUGCAUGUGCUGGGGUGGAAAGCUUUUGUGGUGCAGGAUGGGCCCGCGGCCUAUCAGCUUGUUGGUGGGGUAAUGGCCUACCAAGGCGACGACGGGUAGCCGACCUGAGAGGGUGACCGGGCACCCGGGGACUGAGACACGGCCCAGACUCCUACGGGAGGCAGGAGUGGGGAAUAUUGCACAAUGGGCGGAAGCCUGAUGCAGCGACGCCGCGUGAGGGAUGAAGGCCUUCGGGUUGUAAACCUCUUUCAGCAGGGACGAAGCGUGAGUGACGGUACCUGCAGAAGAAGCACCGGCUAACUACGUGCCAGCAGCCGCCGUAA
RNAcentral lists this ribosomal RNA (478 nucleotides) under uncultured bacterium. Its description in RNAcentral is "partial 16S ribosomal RNA". It matches the Rfam family "Bacterial small subunit ribosomal RNA", at positions 28 to 523 of the family's 1533-position model. The record is from RNAcentral.